This 492-nucleotide ribosomal RNA is filed under the name uncultured bacterium. RNAcentral's name for it is "partial 16S ribosomal RNA". It matches the Rfam family "Bacterial small subunit ribosomal RNA", at positions 29 to 507 of the family's 1533-position model. The record is from RNAcentral.
AGUGAACGCUGGCGGUAGGCCUAACACAUGCAAGUCGAACGGCAGCACAGUAAGAGCUUGCUCUUACGGGUGGCGAGUGGCGGACGGGUGAGGAAUACAUCGGAAUCUACUUUUUCGUGGGGGAUAACGUAGGGAAACUUACGCUAAUACCGCAUACGACCUACGGGUGAAAGCAGGGGAUCUUCGGACCUUGCGCGAUUGAAUGAGCCGAUGUUGGAUUAGCUAGUUGGCGGGGUAAAGGCCCACCAAGGCGACGAUCCGUAGCUGGUCUGAGAGGAUGAUCAGCCUCACUGGAACUGAGACACGGUCCAGACUCCUACGGGAGGCAGCAGUGGGGAAUAUUGGACAAUGGGCGCAAGCCUGAUCCAGCCAUACCGCGUGGGUGAAGAAGGCCUUCGGGUUGUAAAGCCCUUUUGUUGGGAAAGAAAAGCAGCAGGUUAAUACCCCGCUGUUCUGACGGUACCCAAAGAAUAAGCACCGGCUAACUUCGUG